RNAcentral lists this ribosomal RNA (484 nucleotides) under uncultured bacterium. RNAcentral's name for it is "partial 16S ribosomal RNA". It matches the Rfam family "Bacterial small subunit ribosomal RNA", at positions 30 to 507 of the family's 1533-position model. The record is from RNAcentral.
AUUGAACGCUGGCGGCAGGCCUAACACAUGCAAGUCGAGCGGAUGAAGGGAGCUUGCUCCUGGAUUCAGCGGCGGACGGGUGAGUAAUGCCUAGGAAUCUGCCUGGUAGUGGGGGAUAACGUCCGGAAACGGGCGCUAAUACCGCAUACGUCCUGAGGGAGAAAGUGGGGGGUCUUCGGACCUCACGCUAUCAGAUGAGCCUAGGUCGGAUUAGCUAGUUGGUGGGGUAAAGGCCUACCAAGGCGACGAUCCGUAACUGGUCUGAGAGGAUGAUCAGUCACACUGGAACUGAGACACGGUCCAGACUCCUACGGGAGGCAGCAGUGGGGAAUAUUGGACAAAGGGCGAAAGCCUGAUCCAGCCAUGCCGCGUGUGUGAAGAAGGUCUUCGGAUUGUAAAGCACUUUAAGUUGGGAGGAAGGGCAGUAAGUUAAUACCUUGCUGUUUUGACGUUACCAACAGAAUAAGCACCGGCUAACUUCGUG